This is a long non-coding RNA of Apis florea (little honeybee), 6278 nucleotides long. Lineage: Eukaryota; Metazoa; Arthropoda; Insecta; Hymenoptera; Apidae. The record is from RefSeq and is a predicted model, not a curated record.
AUUCGCUCGCGGAUGAAGAAUAAUGAUAAUGAUGAUGGCAAGAAUGGACGGCAGGAAACGACCGAGCAGGAAAUGGAAAGGUUCGACGACGUAAACGAGAGAGAGAGAGAGAAGAAAAGAAGGACACCCUCUGCAGAGAAAUGGAAAAUGGCGAAACGGGGAAAAAAUUCGAAGCGCGUACACAUCCGGGAAUUCGUACGGAUAUUUUUCGCCGCGCGUUUAAUCGGAUUGUCUACCGUCGACUGGACUACCCACCGUCGCCAUCCCAAUCCGAAAUUGUCGACACGGGCGUCCGAUCGGAUUUGCCGUCGGAUAACCCGUCCACGGCUCGUGGAACGCGAAUGGAGUAUCAUUGCCAUUAGCCCGUAUCGAGAAGUGGAUUGCCGAUUGAAAAGGAAUCCGUGGAAAAAAAUAAUAGGAAGGGAGGGGAACGCGUAUGGAUCGGGUCGAUAGAGCGUGUGCACAUAGAUGUAUCGAGCCAACAGAGAAAGAGAGAGAAAAGGUAUAAAAUCAGAUAAGUAGAAGGGGGUAAAAGAGAAAAAAAAAAAAAUAAACGAUAUACAUACCGAAAAUAUAAUACAUAAUACAUACACCGUCCACAUCAGGGACAAGCUUAUGUCCGCUAAUAGACGAGAGUGAAGGAGGGAAAAAGAGAGAGAGAUAAUGGCGCAACACUCGAGAGAAUUUUGUUCGAACCGUUAAUAUACACGAGUAAUAUAAUAUGUAAAGGAGAGAUCGCAUGACGACGGGCUUCGGUUCUGUGUGGAUUCGAGCGUGCACAUAGAGAGAUAACGUGCGUGAGAGAGAGAUAAAAAAUGGCGUCGCGCGUACACGCUUCUCGAGUAAACUAGAGUAAAUUAAAUUUAGAUGGUAGAUUACAGAACGAAGAAUAUAUAUAUAUACGGAUAUAUAUACAUAAUGAUGAUAUAUUUUUGACUUUUAUUCUAUACGGUUAAGCGGGCUAAUUACGAAAUACGUAAAUUAAAAUUACCCCUAGGGCAUAGCAGAGGAGGGACAGAGUGGAUCUCUGGUUGAAAGUCUGGCAAAAAGUUUUUUUCGAUCCAUUCGACGACCGUUGAAGUUGAGGAAAGAAGAGGGAACGAGAAUGUUCGGUUUGAAGAAAGAAAAAGAAACGAUUGUUGUUGAAAAGGGAUAAUAGAGGAAAUGAAGUACUUGUGCUCGACAUAAGUGAAUGUUUGUUUACUCGACGGGGGAAUGGAAAACGAUGAAAUCCAUAUUUCUCUGCAGAGCGAAAGGUGUUGUUUCUGUAACGUUAUCGUUUGCACGGAGGAUGGAUGGAUGGAAAGAUCCAGGCGAAUAGAAUGGAAGAGAAGACGAACGAACGGUGUUGAACGCGAUUCACGAAACCGAGGAUGGAAAUAAACCUGGAUUUUUGCAACUUAUACACUUGUAAAAUAUACAUAUUACAAACAAUACAUAGAUGCACACACACUUCGAACAGUCACAUCUCGAGUAUAUAAAAAUAUACAUCGAUGCACGAUUCUUCGUGAGAAUUCAAGUUUCUUUUUUGUUUAGAAUAUCCGUUUAUCCUGCACACACGAAAAGAACUGAACGAUUUUCCUCCCAGAUUGUUUAAAAAAAGAAAAAGAAAAAAUUGAAAAAGAUGAGAUUGCUUGCUAAGAGUUAUCUGUUCGAUUUUUAAUAAUAUAGCAUAGAGAAGAUUGCUGUUCAAACACACAUAUAUACACACAUACAAAAAUAACACACACACACACACUGUUUUCAAACUUGAAAUUUCUAGAUAAACGAGCAACUAGUAGAACGGAAUAAUAAUAGGAAUAGUGAAAAAAAUAAUGAUAAAACGCGCGUUCGACAUUGGUAGAUUCGACGUUUGAACAAAGAGAUAGAAUGGGAGUGGAUGAGAAGAAGAUGAAGAAAAAGAAAAAGAAAAAAAAGUGAAAAAAAAAAAGAGAACACGUAACGACGAAAUAAUUAACUAACUUUUUCUCGAGAACUAAGCUAACGAAUGAUUAAAUAGUAUUUUUCGAGUUUAGAAUUAUAUUAAACGGGAAACGAUUAAAUAAUUAAAUAAAUAAAGUCGUAGUGGUUAAAAACAUCGUAGAUUACACGAUUCUUAGCUGGUAGUGGACGAAGCGAAAAAAAGAAACUUUUACCGGUUCGAACUAAUUGCAUGUUAGUUGUAUUCCAGCCUAAACGCCCUUAGUAAAGCUUCUCAUUAGUGUGUCGAAGUAGAAAUAUGAAAGACUUUUUAAAAUCCGUCGCGGCCGCCCGCCGUUUCUCCUUUACGAACACGGACGAGCAAAACGAUAAACAUAAGAGGGAAUGAAAUUAAUUAGGGAAACGUUACAAAGGAACGUCUAUCCUUUUGAUUGACCGACAAUUCUGUCCAUUUUUUCUAUUGUACAACGAAACACGGGAAAUCCUGCAACCGCAUAUGCACAAUAUCUCCGCCAAGGACAUAUAGACGAAGACGAAGCCUCUUAUGUCCGCUUUCGUUCUUUCUCUCCCUCCUUUUUCCCCCUAUUUUCUUCUUCCCCCCGAAUUCUCUUCUCUCCCCCUCUCUUUGCUUCUUCCUUAACCUCCAAACUCCCCACUCCUCCUCGCCCCCAACCUUCUUUCAAAUACGUCCUUCCAAUUUUCUUUGAAUGAAAACCGCGACGAGAGCGAAGACGAUAUUCGAUCUCGCGCCCAAUUAACCGCUUAGUGUCUAAAUAUAACAAGUAAAAAAAACGUACUCUCUAAAAAUAACGAGCGAGCAAACAAAACGAAAAAAAAAAAUGAAAUAAGUAAAUAAAUAAAUAAAUAAACGCUAAAUAAUUACAUUUACUUAAAGGUAAAAACACGAUUUAGAUGACGUAGACGUAUCUAUUUAAAAGAGGAAUAAACAAAAUGAAAUAAAUCGAAUAAAAGAAAAAAUAAACAAACGAUGGAAAAACGAGGUUAGAAGAAGAAGAACAAAAAAAGAAGAAUGCUUCCUUUAACAUAGUUUCCUCGUCAACAGACCAGAGGGCCAGAGGCACGCACGCGCGCACCGCGAGAAUAGCCAUCUUCCAUCCUUUGCUCUCCGGUGCAGGAUCUUCUAUAGACGAAUAUACAUACAUAUAUAUAUACAUACCUUGUCUUGAACGAGAAAAAGAGAGAAAAAAACAACAAGAGAGAAGAGAUAGGAAAAAAACACACACACAUAAUUGUGCCGUUUUUUCAACAAAUUAAAAAGAUUGCAGAAAGGGACGUCCAUUUGAAGAAUAUUUCGAAAAGCGAUACGAAAAAAAAAAUACGGAUACCCUCUCGUACAUCUGGUCCCCAUCACACCCCACCUUUGCCAGAAACACUCUUAAUCUUCGUUACGACGAAAAGGGAAAAAAAAGAAAAAAAAAAAGGAAAAAAGAAUAUCGUAAUACCCUCGUUCGUCGAAGUGAACGCAGCAAACUAUUAAAGUUCUAACCCCCCGCUUCUUCUGUGCUAGCGACUUAGACAAAGAAGACGUUGAAUAAUUAUCAUUUAAUAAUUAAUCACCCGUGAAUCUUAUUCGAGGGAAAAGAGGAAAAACGAGAAAGAGAAAACUGGUAUUCAAGUUAUUCGCGGAAAUCUUGUAACCUCGAUGUACAUCGAGCCUCGUACAUCGUCCAUUCGAGACGCCGUGUCGAAAGGUGGCUUGGAAUCGCUCGCUCUACUCUUUUGGCGGGAAAUUUGAAAAAUGAUCACGAUGACGCACCUUCGAAAGAAUCCGUGAAAGCGUUUCAAGCGAUUUCAUGUUCGACGCGACCCUUCGUGGAUAUAAGACGGCCAACUCUAGGAUAGAACACGUGUCAUCGCAACAUACAGAUCGUCUAAUCGAUAUUAUAAUCCUGAAAGAAUAGAUGAACGAACGCGCACAACGAUUUAUUCGAAACAAACGUCAAAACGAGUGCUCGUGUUUUCCCUUGCUUCACGUGUGAGCUUCUGCGCCUAUUGCGAAAACGCUUCUCUAGAAGACCCUUUUCUGAUUCGACGUGUAUACAUAGAGGGACACACACAUAUAUAUAUAUAUACACACACACACACAUACAAUAAUACGGUAUUACAUACACACACGUAUAUUAUUACACACGUUUAGACACAGAGAUACGCGAGUUAUUAUAUCGUGGUAGAAAUGUGUUAGUUAGGUGUUCUUGGUCAUUUAUACGUAUACGCAACGCGCACGCCUGAGCUACGCUACAAUUAGAGGGAUGGUCAUUAUUAAUAUAUCGAUAUCUAUAUGUAGUGUUUAAUAUUAAUCGCCCAGAAAUGUUUAAUAUACUAUUAGAGAUAGAUAGCCGCUUAGGAAGUUGCACAGUGUCACUUUUUGCUGAUCGCUAGUUUCGAAUGCCCUCCCCCCCCCGUUCCGCGUCGAGGCCCCACUUUAUCGUUGCUGUCUUAAAAACACGUUCUUACCGAUAUCGAUCCCCCCAAAAUUUUUCGCGCCCUAGAUUACUCGAAACUCGCGUUAGAAAGUUCGAAAUAUCGGCUCGUAGGGAUUUUUUAACACGUUGACUCGAGGUUAUUCGCGAGGUUAUUCGGUGUUUGUGAUGAUUAUUAUCGAAAAUGGUGGCGGGUGAUCUAUAAAGAUGUGUAGAUACUUUUAGCAAAAUUAAUUUUAAUUUAAAUUUUCGUCUCGUAAGAAAUAUCGAAAAUUGUUUUCUCUUACAAGUGUUUCAAUCAUAUUUAAAUCGUGGAUUCUAAACUAGUUUGCGUAAUAAGUAAGUAACGCGAGGGAAAAAUUAGUUUCAUCGUUACAGCGAAGAAAAUGUUAAAAAACAUUUUUGUAUCGUCGAAACAUGGUGGCUUCGGUCUGACUACAGAGUCAACACGUUGAAAAAAAUUAUUAAUACGAUCAGUAAAAAAGUUUUUCUUUUGCUCUCGAUAAACAAUGAUAGAUUCUUCGCAUCGAUAGUUCCAGAUACACAGUUCUAGUUACUAAGCGUUGUCCUCUUAAAAUGAAACUAAAAACAUACGACUACGCAGACGCUCGCAGCGCAAUCUGACGAAUAGGUUCCUAGUUGGUAAAGUUCCUCGUGCGAAAAAUUUAAUUCAAAAAUUCAAAAAAAUUCAAAAAAUUUGAAAUAUUAAAAAAAUUCAUAAUGAAUAACAUGAAUCCAAGAAUACAAACAAUUAAUUAAUUAAUAGAAGAUAAUCAAUAUAAUAUUUAAUAAAGUGUUUUAAAUGUUAGUUUAUUUGAUAAUGUUAUAAAAAUUCAGAAAUUAAUGCAAAUGUGAUAUAUAUCUUUUUUUCCCUUUUUUUUCCUCCAAUUAUUUGGAAUCUUGAUUGAAUGCAUUUUAUAUUCUAAAUAUAUGUCUCAGAUGAUGAAGGAUCAACAAAGGAAGUUAUACAGAUGAUAAAUUAAUUUCAAAUGAAUAAAUUAUUUUUUUAUUUGCAUUUAUUUAAAUUUUAGAAUCUCAAUCAAGUUAAAAUAAAUAAGUGCCAAAAAUCAAAGAAAUCUAGAAAUAACAACAACGAAUACAACGAAUAACAACACAUUCCCUAAAAAUACAUUAUUGAAAUAAAUUAUGUUAUAAUUUUAAAAAUUAUUACUUUUUAAAAUUAUUUAUCAUCAGUGUAACUUCCAUUAUCAGAAUUAUUUUUGUUAAUCCCAGCAUUUUUAUGGAGAAUAAAAAUUUUUCAAAAACAGGGUAUAUUUACAUACGUAUAUAUAUGUAUGUAUAGUUAAUGAAAUGAAAAGUAAUAUAUUUUGUUGUAAAUGUAUCAUGAAUAUUUGUAUGUGUCUAUAGAGGAAUGAUGUGUAUUAUAUCCGUGAAUGUCGCAUCAAAGUCAAUAUAUUUUAUGAUCGUUGUUAAAUGGAUAUACAUUAAAGUAGAAUGAAAAUUAUAUGCUUAUUUUCUAAUAGUGAAAAAAACUUGUUGGUAAUCUUCCAAAUUUCAUAUAUAUAGUUUAAAAUUAAUUUUUGAAAUAAUUAAGGAUUUUGAAGUUUUAAUUUUUUUUUCAAUUAUUUUAUUAUAUUUUAUCAAUUAUAAUAUUUUUUCUUAGUUUUAGAUUAUAAAUUAAAAAAAUUUUUAUUCACUAUUAGAAAUGAAUAGCAAAAAAAAACUUUAUUUUAUUCUAUCUUAUUAUACUUAUACACAAUACAACAAUAUACAUAUAGUAUAUUGAGAAGUUCAUAUACAUUUCCAUUAACUGGACAUGUCAUAAUGAAUGUGUCUGGCUAUGAUUAUUACAUAUUAAGACAAUAACUUUUCCUGCAAAAAUGAUUGUAUAUGAUAAUAUAAAAAUUUAAUAUAAAAAUAUAUACUUAUCUAAUAUGCAAAUAAAAAUUCCUAAAA